RNAcentral lists this ribosomal RNA (501 nucleotides) under uncultured bacterium. RNAcentral's name for it is "partial 16S ribosomal RNA". It matches the Rfam family "Bacterial small subunit ribosomal RNA", at positions 30 to 523 of the family's 1533-position model. The record is from RNAcentral.
AUUGAACGCUGGCGGCAGGCUUAACACAUGCAAGUCGAGCGGGGGAAGGUAGCUUGCUACCGGACCUAGCGGCGGACGGGUGAGUAAUGCUUAGGAAUCUGCCUAUUAGUGGGGGACAACAUCUCGAAAGGGAUGCUAAUACCGCAUACGUCCUACGGGAGAAAGCAGGGGAUCUUCGGACCUUGCGCUAAUAGAUGAGCCUAAGUCGGAUUAGCUAGUUGGUGGGGUAAAGGCCUACCAAGGCGACGAUCUGUAGCGGGUCUGAGAGGAUGAUCCGCCACACUGGGACGGAGACACGGCCCAGACUCCUACGGGAGGCAGCAGUGGGGAAUAUUGGACAAUGGGGUGAACCCUGAUCCAGCCAUGCCGCGUGUGUGAAGAAGGCCUUAUGGUUGUAAAGCACUUUAAGCGAGGAGGAGGCUACUCUAGUUAAUACCUGGGGAUAGUGGACGUUACUCGCAGAAUAAGCACCGGCUAACUCUGUGCCAGCCGCCGCCGUAA